GCAGGACGGUGGCCAUGGAGGUCGGAAUCUGCUAAGGUGUGUGUAACAACUAACCUGC
This 58-nucleotide non-coding RNA is filed under the name Callithrix jacchus (white-tufted-ear marmoset). RNAcentral's name for it is "Eukaryotic large subunit ribosomal RNA". It matches the Rfam family "Eukaryotic large subunit ribosomal RNA", at positions 1240 to 1297 of the family's 3401-position model. Lineage: Eukaryota; Metazoa; Chordata; Mammalia; Primates; Cebidae. The record is from Rfam by way of RNAcentral.